RNAcentral lists this ribosomal RNA (253 nucleotides) under uncultured bacterium. RNAcentral's name for it is "partial 16S ribosomal RNA". It matches the Rfam family "Bacterial small subunit ribosomal RNA", at positions 524 to 776 of the family's 1533-position model. The record is from RNAcentral.
UACGUAGGGGGCUAGCGUUGUCCGGAAUCAUUGGGCGUAAAGCGCGCGUAGGCGGCCCGGUAAGUCCGCUGUGAAAGUCAAAGGCUCAACCUUUGAACGUCAGCGGAUACUGUCGGGCUAGAGGCCGGGAGAGGGCAGCGGAAUUCCCGGUGUAGCGGUGAAAUGCGUAGAGAUCGGGAGGAACACCGGCGGCGAAGGCGGCUGCCUGGACCGGCCCUGACGCUGAGGCGCGAAAGCUAGGGGAGCAAACAGG